Molecule: ribosomal RNA, 253 nt
Filed under: uncultured bacterium
Lineage: Bacteria
Description: partial 16S ribosomal RNA
Rfam family: Bacterial small subunit ribosomal RNA
Source: RNAcentral
UACGGGGGAUGCGAGCGUUAUCCGGAUUUAUUGGGUUUAAAGGGUGCGUAGGCGGCGCUUCAGGUCAGCGGUGAAAUACCGGGGCUCAACCCCGGGGCUGCCGUUGAAACCGGAGCGCUAGAAUUCCGAUGCCGUCGGAGGAAUGUGUGGUGUAGCGGUGAAAUGCAUAGAUAUCACGCAGAACGCCGAUUGCGAAGGCAGCUUACCAGUCUGCGACUGACGCUCAGGCACGAAAGUGUGGGUAUCGAACAGG